RNAcentral lists this non-coding RNA (23 nucleotides) under Bombyx mori (domestic silkworm). Lineage: Eukaryota; Metazoa; Arthropoda; Insecta; Lepidoptera; Bombycidae. The record is from miRBase by way of RNAcentral.
AAGAACAGGAUGAGGUAGAUAAA